GUUCUCUAAGUAAGCCACCGUUGGAGGAGCUAAGCAACAGCGAAUUUUUAUCAGAGGCCACUCCUAGAAAUUUAGUUUCAGGUCAUGUAUCGUUGAGUGUAGCUUGCACGAAAUCAAAGAAUAUUUCUGAUUAGAACCUUUCUCAAUUACUUUAUUGUCUUUUAAAUUUAUUUUGUUUGUUAGAGACAAUUUUCUUUUCAGUGCAAUGUACAUGGUGAGGUCC
RNAcentral lists this long non-coding RNA (223 nucleotides) under Elaeis guineensis (African oil palm). Its description in RNAcentral is "long non-coding RNA (EGUI_LNC017959)". Lineage: Eukaryota; Viridiplantae; Streptophyta; Magnoliopsida; Arecales; Arecaceae. The record is from RNAcentral.